This is a long non-coding RNA of Cucurbita moschata (crookneck pumpkin), 578 nucleotides long. RefSeq lists it as uncharacterized. NCBI's taxonomy places the organism in Eukaryota, Viridiplantae, Streptophyta, Magnoliopsida, Cucurbitales, Cucurbitaceae. The transcript has 3 exons. The record is from RefSeq and is a predicted model, not a curated record.
GAAAGAAAAGAGAGGAAGAUGGAGGUGUGGGAUGAAGAAGGGUGGUUUUAUUUUGUGUUAGUGUUUUGGAUGGUGGUGGUGGUUGGCGUUGGCAAGGCCGACGAGGAAGCACCAAAUAUUAUCGAAGAAACAGAGGAAGAGGGAAGUGGCGUUUGUUGUGACAACGUGCAAACAUGAGGAUGGGGAGACGAUUGUGAAGGCUUUCUAGCCAUAUCACCGAACUAAGCUGAUUUAAGCGGUUGUCGCAAAGAAGGAAUCAGGAUGAAAUUCGAAUCGUAGAAGGAGGAUAUGGCUUCGGGAUAUAGUAGGUAUUAACAGAAAAGAUGGAAAAAUUUCAGAAAACGGAAGGAAGAAGAAGAAGCGCAUGCACUACACGCAAGCGCGUGAGGGCCGCGACUGGGUGUGCGACUGGGCGUGCUCAUGGCGCGUGGGACAGACACACCGAGGAUGUGAGGGCGCGUGAGGGCGCGUGAAGCAUCAUUUCGGUUCCCGGUCUAAUUGGAAGGAAUUGUGUUGAAAUACCCUAUUAAAUGUACAAUCAAGAGAGAAAGGGAUUCGGAACCAGGUAAGUAGCAUAU